RNAcentral lists this ribosomal RNA (589 nucleotides) under Salmonella enterica. RNAcentral describes it as "bacterial SSU rRNA". It matches the Rfam family "Bacterial small subunit ribosomal RNA", at positions 1 to 579 of the family's 1533-position model. Lineage: Bacteria; Pseudomonadati; Pseudomonadota; Gammaproteobacteria; Enterobacterales; Enterobacteriaceae. The record is from RNAcentral. RNAcentral also lists the same sequence under 1 other name.
AAAUUGAAGAGUUUGAUCAUGGCUCAGAUUGAACGCUGGCGGCAGGCCUAACACAUGCAAGUCGAACGGUAACAGGAAGCAGCUUGCUGCUUUGCUGACGAGUGGCGGACGGGUGAGUAAUGUCUGGGAAACUGCCUGAUGGAGGGGGAUAACUACUGGAAACGGUGGCUAAUACCGCAUAACGUCGCAAGACCAAAGAGGGGGACCUUCGGGCCUCUUGCCAUCAGAUGUGCCCAGAUGGGAUUAGCUUGUUGGUGAGGUAACGGCUCACCAAGGCGACGAUCCCUAGCUGGUCUGAGAGGAUGACCAGCCACACUGGAACUGAGACACGGUCCAGACUCCUACGGGAGGCAGCAGUGGGGAAUAUUGCACAAUGGGCGCAAGCCUGAUGCAGCCAUGCCGCGUGUAUGAAGAAGGCCUUCGGGUUGUAAAGUACUUUCAGCGGGGAGGAAGGUGUUGUGGUUAAUAACCGCAGCAAUUGACGUUACCCGCAGAAGAAGCACCGGCUAACUCCGUGCCAGCAGCCGCGGUAAUACGGAGGGUGCAAGCGUUAAUCGGAAUUACUGGGCGUAAAGCGCACGCAGGCGGU